This 1092-nucleotide long non-coding RNA is filed under the name Apteryx haastii (Great spotted kiwi). RNAcentral describes it as "lncRNA (ENSAHAG00000011364.1)". Lineage: Eukaryota; Metazoa; Chordata; Aves; Apterygiformes; Apterygidae. The record is from RNAcentral.
AUGUCCCCAUGUCCCCACGAGGCCCUGGCACGUCCAGGAUGUCCCUGUGUCCCUGCGAGGCCCUGGCACAUCCCUGCAAGGCCCUGGCACGUCCAGGAUGUCCCCACGUCCCCACAAGGCCCCAGCACAUCCAGGAUGUCCCCACGUCCCCGCAAGGCCCUGGGACGUCCCCAUAAGGCCUCAGCACAUCCAGGAUGUCCCCGUGUCCCCAUGAGGCCCUGGCACAUCCAGGAUGUCCCCAUGUCCCUGCAAGGCCCUGGCACAUCCAGGAUGUCCCCGUGUCCCCACGAGGCCCUGGCAUGUCCCCAUAAGGCCCCGGCACAUCCAGGACGUCCGCACGUCGCCGCGAGGCCCCGGCACGUCCUCUUCAGUCCCGGCACGUCCCCAACCGCCGCCGUCGCAGCGAGGUCCCGGCGUCGCCCCCCGGGGCGGGGGGUGGCCGCCCCCUUCCUCCUCGUCCCCGCGGCAGGUCCCCGGCGUCCCCGGGCGGCGGCGGGGGGGAGAGAGGGCCGCGCUCAGAGCUUGAGCUCGUUGGCCACCUUGGAGGCAAUGUUCUUGAAGGCCAUGGAGGUGCCGGCGAUGCGCUUGAAGCGGACGCCGUUGAGCGAGAGGCGCGGCAGCUUGCACACCUCCAUCUCCCACUGCACGAAGGAGUCGUGGCCCGGCGCGCCGUGCACGCACAGCAGCACGUACUUCUCCUGCAGCUCGCACUGGCAGCUGUUGGCGUCCAGCACCUUGCGGAUCUCCCGCAUCAUCUCGUUGGGCUCCAGGGCGCUCGUCGUCUUCAUGCUCCACGUGAAGCGCAGCGAGCGCGGCUUCGCCUCCCGCCCCUCCUCCCGCUCCUUCUCGCCCGCCACGUGGGGCCUGCGGGGCGCCGGCGGGCGGGCGUCAGCGGGGCGCCCGGGGGGCCCCCGGGGCGUCGCGGGGAUCUCGAGGGUGUCACGGGGACUGGAUGGUGCCCACGAGGAUCCCAAGGGUGUCACGGGGACCGGAUGGUGCCCACGGGGAUCCCAAGGGUGUCACGGGGACUGGACGGUGCCCAUGGGGAGCCCCAGGGUGUCACGGGGAUCCCAAGGGUGUCACGGGGACUGG